Molecule: ribosomal RNA, 491 nt
Filed under: uncultured bacterium
Lineage: Bacteria
Description: partial 16S ribosomal RNA
Rfam family: Bacterial small subunit ribosomal RNA
Source: RNAcentral
GUGAACGCUGGCGGUAGGCCUAACACAUGCAAGUCGAACGGCAGCACAGUAAGCGCUUGCUCUUACGGGUGGCGAGUGGCGGACGGGUGCGGAAUACAUCGGAAUCUACUUUUUCGUGGGGGAUAACGUAGGGAAACUUACGCUAAUACCGCAUACGACCUACGGGUGAAAGCAGGGGAUCUUCGGACCUUGCGCGAUUGAAUGAGCCGAUGUCGGAUUAGCUAGUUGGCGGGGUAAAGGCCCACCAAGGCGACGAUCCGUAGCUGGUCUGAGAGGAUGAUCAGCCACACUGGAACUGAGACACGGUCCAGACUCCUACGGGAGGCAGCAGUGGGGAAUAUUGGACAAUGGGCGCAAGCCUGAUCCAGCCAUACCGCGUGGGUGAAGAAGGCCUUCGGGUUGUAAAGCCCUUUUGUUGGGAAAGAAAAGCAGCAGGUUAAUACCCCGCUGUUCUGACGGUACCCAAAGAAUAAGCACCGGCUAACUUCGUG